Molecule: non-coding RNA, 4626 nt
Organism: Nothobranchius furzeri (turquoise killifish)
Lineage: Eukaryota; Metazoa; Chordata; Actinopteri; Cyprinodontiformes; Nothobranchiidae
Source: RefSeq, a predicted model, not a curated record
GACGUGAUCAGGCCUGAUUCAUAGGUUUGGGUGGGGAACUGAGAUCAGAAUUUAAUUUAAAAUGUAUAUUUUCUAAAGAAAAUCAUGAACUAACGUGAUGAUGCCUCAACCAGCAGCAAAAGAGUAAAAAAAAUCUCUCUUUUUUUGUUCUUUGUGGGUCAGAAAUAGAAAAAUGAAGAUUUAAAUCACCUGUUAGUCAGUUAAUGUGAAAGUUAUUUAUAAAUUGUUUUUUAAACUGUGUGAGGAAACUGAAGAACCAGCAGAAAACCCAACGCAGAUAAGGGGUUUACUUCCUGUUUAUGGGAAUAUGUGGGAAAUGUGAACUUCCUGGAAAAUAACCAUGCUACCAGGAUUAAAGCAUCAGCUCAUGUAUAAACUCAACAUUUCCACCUGCAUGUAUUUUUCAACAGCACCAUAUUCAGCAAAACAGGAAGUGAUUCUUGUGGAGGAUCUGAGCAUGCUCCUUGCAUUUGUGGACAUCAUCUUCCUGGAACUGGCACAGCACUGGAUUUAUGUUUACAUCUACCAGCCAGUAGAGGGCACCAUUGGAGGUUGCCAAACAGCCCGUUCAGCACAGCGAGGCUGGCCCUGUGGAAAAUGGCGGACUCGGCGAGUCAAGCAGCUGCGAGUUCAGAAGACGUCGUUAUUCUUCCCGGAAGAGGAGCGACCAUAAAAGAUCUAAAACCAGGGUGAGUUUGGAGGAAGCCUGAAGGUUGGUUUAUGCUUGACGCGUCCGCGAGGUCCGCACAGCUCCGCGCGGAAAAGUUGCGUCAUUUUGCGUCAUUUUAACAACCACGCCCCACCAUCGCGCCUCCGCACGGCCCAAAAUUUCCACAGCGCGCACCUAGGAAAAUUUCUAACCAUGCGGACGGUCGGACGCAGAAAAACAUGGCAGACCGGCAAGAACUAGUAUGGCAGAGGCUCGUAAAUACAGACAUUUGUAUGAUUCAGCUCUCAGAGAUCACCGUGAUCAACAUGUUGUUAAUAAUUCUUGGAGAGAAAUAACUCGCACUGUCGGAAAAGACGAGGACGCUGUUAAAAAUGCUGAAAUGCCAUGUUGUAAACAGUAAUUUCUACUUCUACUAUGGUGUAGUGUUGGAUGCAUGCCGUAGAGCUCCAUGCUGCCCCGUUCAGUUUGGGAGAAUAUUGGCUCACCGCAGAGAUGAGCCGCACGAACCAUAAACGCUGUGAGUUGUGAAGCACGUUCCAUCCGCGAGCCGCAUCACCAAGCGGAAAGUGAAUGCGUCAAGCAUAAACCAAGCUUAACAGAUGGACCCAAAUUAAAAAGGUCACAUACUGGCAGCGAACCUGGUAUACCGACGGCUGGAAACCUUGUUCUGUUGUUGCAACUACAACCUCCACACACUAGAUGUCGCUUUGGUGUUCGUGUCUCGUAUUCCACCUUUAAGGUCAGUUAUUCAGCAGACAUUAACUUUUGGUCUGCCUUUAUUUCAUCACCCAUAUAUCUACAGACUGGAUCUAAAUUUAAAAAAAAAACAGCUAAUCUGUGAGCUGUUAACAGGUAGAAACUCCUCAGCUGCACUUUGGUAUUCACAAAUAAAUACUCAGAUGCAGGCAGCCAAUGAAAGCAAUAUCUAUUUUAAACUGACGGCCAUAUUGUAUUACAAAAAGAAGCAUUUAAAGAAGCAGCGAGGUUUAAUCUUCUCCUUUUUGUUACAAGAGUGAUUAGAGCGUACAACUUAUACUGCAGCCAUCCACUAGAGGGCGUGUUUGUUGCAUUUAUUUUAUGGCUAAAAACUGGAAUUUGUGUAGAAUGCAUCCAAAAUAAAGUCCCGGUAAACCAAUAAACCAGCUCACGCUGUUUCUGUCUACAUUCACAGAUUAUUUUCUUUUUUUUCAACCACAAGGAAGAAAACAGAAUAACCUCUACUGUAAAUAUCAUCUGAGUAGACUACCACAACCUGCAGACACAAACGAACCUCGUCUGAUCUGUCUUCCAGAGAGGUUGUUGCACAAGAAAACUGACAGCAGCAUAACCUGUUUUUUCACCGUAACUGGCCCGCAAAGCCAACAUGUAGUGGGUGUCUGAGCCGACCAGUAAAACCUGCCACAAAAAAAAAAUUACUGGAAUGAGACAAGUCAACGAAUUAUUUCCUAGGUUCCUCAUGGCUGAAAAUUCAUCAUGACUGCCGCUCAGCUCAACGUCUCUGUUGAAGUUUGGUAAAACCUGUGAUUUAGAUGUUUCUACUUGAAUGAGCUGGAACAAACCUGAGGUUGUGAUGCUGUGACGGAGGUCCCUCUCACUAGAACAAGAUACAGCAGAAACGUCUAGACGAGCUUUCUUGUUGCCAUUUAGUUGGUUUUUAAGUCUGUUUAAUAAAGCUUCAUAAAGAACACAAAGGUAAGAUCAGUGUGUGAACAGGUCACAAUUACUGUAAAAAAACUGAAACGUUUUCUCAUUUAUUUUUCAAACCAUAACACACCAAGAGAAGCUGAGCUAAACCGAUCUUCUUGCUCUAUGAACAACCUCAGUGUGGAGUAAUGCAGAUUCAUUUUGAUUGGGAGGAAGACCAAAUGGAUUGCCACAAUUUAAAACAACCCAAAAAUGCUUUAGUGGUUAAUGUAAAUGGCAUUUUUGUAAAGUUUUACACCAGAUUACACAGUUAUCCCAUUUGAAAUAUGAUUAAUAUUCCAAAUUAAAGGCUAGCGUUGUUGCUAAUUUUUUCCAGACUUUCUUCUUCUUCUUCUUCUUCUUCUUCUUCUUCAAAAUGACAUUUCUGGCUUUUUACAGUUGGACAAUAGAGUUUUCAUGAUUCAUUUUAAAUUAAACGACUUUAAACCUGAUCCAUGUGGGACGAGCUGUUAGUGCGCCUCAGUCUAAAUUGGCUACGCUCCAUUUUUGAAAUAUUCUCAGUAUUUUAAUUUGAAUAAAAUGGUCUAAAUGUGACCAAUUGAUAAGUACAAAAUACAAUUUCUAUCUUUUUAAGUGCAAUAAGGCUUUGUCGCGACAUAAACCAAACGAAUGAGUGUGGGACGAAACAUAAAGGCACAUUGCAAAUAUUUUCUAAGAAACCUUCCAGCUUUUCUGAGAGCAGGUCUUGUGGACAGACAACAAAAGGAGCGCUUUUGGGGGGAAUGUUGUGCAUCACUUUGUUUAUAGGUAACAAAUGAAAGCCCAUAAAGACAAAAAACACAGUAUUUAUAGAACAACAUGGCAGAUGAUCUGUCAUCAUGAGCAUGCUGUGGGGGGUGGGGGUCCAUUAGCAGAUUUAAACAUCCCAAAUAAGUGGAAAAUCUGAUCAGCAGGAUUUUACUGAUCUAAAUAAUCUGAUAAAAGCUCCAGAAUUAUUUAGCUGCUUUCGAACUUUGUCACUUCCACUUCUUUGUCCUCAGGCUGAAAGAGUGGAGAGGAGGCUAAAGAGCAUUUGGCAGAAGUGCCAUAAAUUGUGUAAGGGCGCCACCUGCAGGACCCCUGGAAAUAGAUCGUUACAUUUAUUUCCUAAGAAAUAAAGUUGACUUCCAGUGAAAAGAAUAAAUAUGAAAGUACAUUUAUUAAAUAAUUAAUAUACUAAUAUUAUCAUUAUUACAAAAUAUGGUGUGCACAGUAGUUAUACACCCAUUCUGCCACUAGAUGGCAGCCUCAGCCUUUUAGCUGCUUACAAACUUUAUUGACGGAAAUGCCCAUAAUAACGGGAACGACUGAGGUCCAAAACAAAACUACACAAUUUUUUUUUUUUACUGAGAAGGACACAACGACACAAAUGCACACAAACUGCAAGAAAAUAUAACUAUUAAAGCAAAUCUAAAUAAUUUUAUUUUUUGCUUGAAAUGAUAUAACAGUUGUAUUUACCUGUUAGUUCUAAUUACUGCCAAGUGCACUAAAAGUACAAAAGAUUUAAAAAAUUAUUUAUUAAAAAAGAAAAUCCUCAAUCUUCUAUCAGAAACAAACCUCUAGACCUUCAAUCUGUGAUGUUUGGAAGCCAACGUCUAAAUAAAAACAUUACACAGGAAACAAGAGCUUUAUAAACAGUUCAGUUUUUAUUGCAAAAUAUUUUGUACAGAAUAAAACUGAAAAAACCAACAUAAGAGGAAUGCACAGUAAGGCAAACAUAAGAACUCCAAGAGUUGAACUGUACAAACACCAACGGUAAUAUUUGCUGCAUUUUCUGUACAUAAAUUGUUUUCCACUCCCACAGCAAACUCCUUAAAUGAGAAAAAAUUAAAUAAAUAAAACCAUCUUUCCAUUGUGUCCUGAAAUUAUUGCCUUGACUGUAACUUUAAACACCAACAGACUAUCCUUAAAUACUGAAACUCCUGUGAGAAGAAUGUUUUGGGAAUGAGUGUAGCAUCACAUUCACGCGGGGAGCGCCACUCCAGAAGCUAGAGCUAGCUCAGUGUAUGGAACAAAUCCUGCAGAACCUGAAUGAAACCAAAUGCACGGUUUGCUUUCUGACUCUACAUCCCACUGCUGAAAUCACGGACCCCUGGCGUGUACUUGGAGGGGUUAGGAAUAGUGGUUUACGAAAGUCCGGACGUGCACAUACCCAUGCACAUCCUCAUGCGAUUUGGCACCGAUUUAAAAGUUCUGCUCUCAAAAGUAAACCACAUCUUGGUUCUUCUAGCUCUUUCUUUAUAUAUAUAUAUAUAUAUAUAUAUAUAUAUAUA